UGCUGGGGACAGGGUGAUCCUCCUCCAGCCCCCCUCCUCUGUUUUUUCCAUGCAGAUAAAGAUGUGGGCCUCGAGGAUUGUCCAAUCCCACCACGGACUGUGGCUUCUCCGUGCCGUGCCAUGUCUUUGGCCCCGUGGUUCCACGGCGCUCAUCUGCAACAGGCUUUUUCUCUGCAAAAAGGCUGCUCAUGGUCCUGAUGACGUGGAUAUGCAAUCACUGACCCUCCAAAACCCCAGGGAGAACCAUUUCUAGGAGGUCCUGAGCUAAACACAGGCUCUCUACGACUGCAGCCUUGCUGGUGGCCGGCAGAGUCCCCCAGAGGAGACGACAGAGCUGAUACUGCAGAACUAACUGACAUUAAACUGGCAGAAUCCCAGUGCAAAGGUGAACUCGAGGAAAAAAUUAUAUUGGAUUUUAAUAAAACUUUCCUCAAAGGUCAACCUCUCUAAGGUAUGAAAUCAAUCUUCCCUCCUCCUUCUUCAGCCCAUUUAUUCACAGCUAUAGAAAAUUCUGAUACUCAUAAAAUGUUUCCCAUUCCCUCCCCCUCCUAUUACAAUAUCUAUCUACCUGUGACCACUAUUUUUCACAGCAAUUUUAGAUCCCUUCCUCCUCUUUUCACUCUUUUUACCUGGCCUUCUUGGAAUCUGCAGCCGCUUCUCAAAAUGUCACUUAUCAGGCUCCCUUUCAAGAACAGAUCCUGCCUCAUACCAUCUUCAGUACAACCCCCCCCCCCAUUUUUUUUUUAAGGCUUGUAGUAUGAAUACAUUCAGGCUUGGUUAGAUAAAUACAACAUGCAUCAUUUUUUUCAUUUGCCAACCAAGCACAAAAUUAUUUUAUACUGACUGUACAUUACAAAAAUAUACUCUCAAAAUAUGGCCUCUUACAGUAUUUAAGAUAUAGCAAGGACGUGGCUAAUUUUUUUCAUGUGUAUAUAUAUAUAUGUACACAGACAUAUAUAUAUAUAUGUUUAAAAAAUUGGCACUAAUAGGUGGGUUUAUUGGUCUUUUUCUAAUUGUAUAAUUUAAUUUAGUACAAAGUUUGUAAAAUAUCAGAGUAUAUAUAUUGUUUCUACAACAUGGUAUUGCAUUUAUAUCUUUUUACUACAGUGAUCUGUGACAGCUGCAGCAGCUUCAUGUUGUAUUUUUUUUACUGAAAUUGUAAGAUAUCCAUCUUAAAGACAUCAAUUCUAAAAAAAAGUUAAAAAGUUGUGUACAGAAUAUUCCUUAGUGGUGGAAUUAAAAUGUACGAAAUAUUUGCUUUUUUCAAAAGAAACACAAAUUGUAUUUUCUGUUAAAAGUUUAAAGAUUUUUGCUAUAUAUUAUGGAAGAAAAUGUAAUCGUAAAUAUUAAUUUUGUACCUACAUUGUGCAAUACUUGAAAAAAGGUAUAAAAGUAUUUUGAGUCAGUGUCUUACAUGUUAAGAGGGACUGAAAUAGUUUAUAUUAAGUUUGUAUUAAAAUUCUUUAAAAUUACUUGGCUGUGGUGGUGUGUGUUUUUCCUGUCCUGCUGAGCAUCCAAGCACUGCUGUUCCUUGUGCUGAGGAUGCACCAAAGUCUGACUCAGAGGAGCAGUGGAAGGGUGGCUGCAUUGCUGCACCACAUGGGGCUCUUUACCCAAAACACCACUGACAGAGCACAGAACCCAAUUAAGGACUUGCCUUCAAUUAUCUGAGCAAAAUUCCACUUGUUUUCCGUAACUGCUGCUCAGUGAAGCCAGAAGGGAAUUCCGUUCUUUUUCCUUGAUAAUUAAGACUAUAAGCUCUGUGAACGUGGAGUUAUGGGGUGAGGGUGUGCCUAGCAGGGACUCAGGUGAUUCAAUGAAAUUCCCUUUCCAUGUCACUGGGAUUAUUUGAACUAUUAUCUCGGGAGGUCCUAGACCAGCACAUCAGCGUUCUGCCUCUGUAUUAGGGAUUAAUAGCUCAGAAACAAAACUGAAUAAAAGUGCUGAUUUACAGCUUUCUAAACUCA
Molecule: long non-coding RNA, 1967 nt
Filed under: Manacus vitellinus (golden-collared manakin)
Lineage: Eukaryota; Metazoa; Chordata; Aves; Passeriformes; Pipridae
Description: lncRNA (ENSMVIG00005009090.1)
Source: RNAcentral